UCCGGUUGAUCCUGCCAGAGGUUACUGCUAUCGGAGUUCGAUUAAGCCAUGCGAGUCUAAAGGUUUCUUCGGAAACCUUGGCGGACUGCUCAGUAACACGUGGAUAACCUACCCUUGGGACUGGAAUAACCCCGGGAAACUGGGGAUAAUACCGGAUAGAUCAUGGAUGCUGGAAUGCACCUUGAUCCAAAGCUCCGGCGCCCAAGGAUGGGUCUGCGGCCUAUCAGGUUGUAGUGGGUGUAACGUACCUACUAGCCGACGACGGGUACGGGUUGUGAGAGCAAGAGCCCGGAGAUGGAUUCUGAGACACGAAUCCAGGCCCUACGGGGUGCAGCAGGCGCGAAACCUUUACAAUGUGCGAAAGCAUGAUAAGGGAACUCCGAGUGCCAGUAUCUAAUACUGGCUGUCCUUGUGCCUAAAACGCACAAGAUAGCAAGGGCCGGGUAAGACCGGUGCCAGCCGCCGCGGUAACACCGGCGGCCCGAGUGGUAGCCGCUAUUAUUGGGUCUAAAGGGUCCGUAGCCGGUUCGAUGAGUCCUCUGGGAAAUCUGGUUGCUUAACAAUCAGACUGCCAAGGGAUACUGUCGAACUUGAGACCGGGAGAGGUAAGAGGUACUUCAGGGGUAGGAGUGAAAUCUUGUAAUCCCUGGGGGACCAUCUGUGGCGAAGGCGUCUUACCAGAACGGGUCUGACGGUGAGGGACGAAAGCUGGGGGCGCAAACCGGAUUAGAUACCCGGGUAGUCCCAGCCGUAAACGAUGCUCGCUAUGUGUCAGGUACGGUGUGACCGUAUCUGGUGCCGUAGGGAAGCCGUGAAGCGAGCCAUCUGGGAAGUACGGUCGCAAGACUGAAACUUAAAGGAAUUGGCGGGGGAGCAC
Molecule: ribosomal RNA, 877 nt
Filed under: uncultured archaeon
Lineage: Archaea
Description: bacterial SSU rRNA
Rfam family: Archaeal small subunit ribosomal RNA
Source: RNAcentral